CAGGACGAACGCUGGCGGCGUGCUUAACACAUGCAAGUCGAACGCUGAAGCCUGGUGCUUGCACCGGGUGGAUGAGUGGCGAACGGGUGAGUAAUACGUGAGUGACCUGCCUUUGACUCUGGGAUAAGCCUGGGAAGCUGGGUCUAAUACCGGAUGCGACUACUGCCCGCAUGGGCUGGUGGUGGAAAGGGUUAUGUACUGGUCUUAGAUGGGCUCACGGCCUAUCAGCUGGUUGGUGGGGUAAUGGCCUACCAAGGCGACGACGGGUAGCCGGCCUGAGAGGGUGACCGGCCACACUGGGACUGAGACACGGCCCAGACUCCUACGGGAGGCAGCAGUGGGGAAUAUUGCACAAUGGGCGCAAGCCUGAUGCAGCGACGCCGCGUGAGGGAUGACGGCCUUCGGGUUGUAAACCUCUUUCAGCAGGGAAGAAGCGGAAGUGACGGUACCUGCAGAAGAAGCGCCGGCUAACUACGUGCCAGCAGCCGCGGUAAUACGUAGGGCGCAAGCGUUGUCCGGAAUUAUUGGGCGUAAAGAGCUCGUAGGCGGCUUGUCGCGUCUGCUGUGAAAGCCCGGGGCUUAACUCCGGGUGUGCAGUGGGUACGGGCAGGCUAGAGUGCAGUAGGGGUAACUGGAAUUCCUGGUGUAGCGGUGAAAUGCGCAGAUAUCAGGAGGAACACCGAUGGCGAAGGCAGGUUACUGGGCUGUUACUGACGCUGAGGAGCGAAAGCAUGGGGAGCGAACAGGAUUAGAUACCCUGGUAGUCCAUGCCGUAAACGUUGGGCACUAGGUGUGGGGGGACAUUCCACGUUUUCCGCGCCGUAGCUAACGCAUUAAGUGCCGUAAACGUUGGGCACUAGGUGUGGGGGACAUUCCACGUUUUCCGCGCCGUAGCUAACGCAUUAAGUGCCCCGCCUGGGGAGUACGGCCGCAAGGCUAAAACUCAAAGGAAUUGACGGGGGCCCGCACAAGCGGCGGAGCAUGCGGAUUAAUUCGAUGCAACGCGAAGAACCUUACCAAGGCUUGACAUACACCGGAUCGUUCCAGAGAUGGUUCUUCCCUUUUGGGCUGGUGUACAGGUGGUGCAUGGUUGUCGUCAGCUCGUGUCGUGAGAUGUUGGGUUAAGUCCCGCAGCGAGCGCAACCCUCGUUCUAUGUUGCCAGCACGUGAUGGUGGGGACUCAUAGGAGACUGCCGGGGUCAACUCGGAGGAAGGUGGGGAUGACGUCAAAUCAUCAUGCCCCUUAUGUCUUGGGCUUCACGCAUGCUACAAUGGCCGGUACAAUGGGUUGCGAUACUGUGAGGUGGAGCUAAUCCCAAAAAGCCGGUCUCAGUUCGGAUUGGGGUCUGCAACUCGACCCAUGAAGUCGGAGUCGCUAGUAAUCGCAGAUCAGCAACGCUGCGGUGAAUACGUUCCCGGGCCUUGUACACACCGCCCGUCAAGUCACGAAAGUUGGUAACACCCG
RNAcentral lists this ribosomal RNA (1465 nucleotides) under Rothia kristinae. RNAcentral describes it as "bacterial SSU rRNA". It matches the Rfam family "Bacterial small subunit ribosomal RNA". Lineage: Bacteria; Bacillati; Actinomycetota; Actinomycetes; Micrococcales; Micrococcaceae. The record is from RNAcentral.